GGUUGAUCCUGCCAGUAUUAUAUGCUGAUGUUAAAGAUUAAGCCAUGCAUGUGUAAGUUUAAAGACCAAGUAGGAUGAAACUGCGGACGGCUCAUUAUAACAGUAAUAGUUUCUUUGGUUAGUCGGUACAAGGAUAACUUUGUGAAUGAUAAAGCUAAUACUUGAGACGAUCCGGGGAGUAUUUAUACUUUCUGGCCACUGGCUGCGAGGCCGGUGAGAAACGACAUUCUCUUGUGAAAAAGGAUGCCGCGACAAUUGAGGAAAGCGACGCUUUUAACAAGUAACCAAUGGG
RNAcentral lists this ribosomal RNA (292 nucleotides) under uncultured eukaryote. Its description in RNAcentral is "partial 18S ribosomal RNA". It matches the Rfam family "Eukaryotic small subunit ribosomal RNA", at positions 6 to 302 of the family's 1831-position model. The record is from RNAcentral.